Molecule: long non-coding RNA, 258 nt
Filed under: Vigna radiata
Lineage: Eukaryota; Viridiplantae; Streptophyta; Magnoliopsida; Fabales; Fabaceae
Description: long non-coding RNA (VRAD_LNC013019)
Source: RNAcentral
GCGGGUAUCCGCAGAUAAAAUCCGCCACGGGUAGUUAGUACCCGCGGGUAAAAGGUACCCGCGGGUGGCGGGUAGCGGGUUUUAUAAUACCCGCUUGUUAACGGAUCGGGUUCGGAUAUCACACUAUCCGUACCCGCGGGUACCCGCAACCUGUCUUACCCCUUUAAAUUAUUUUCUAAGAUAUCCUGCCGUCAAACCCUAGUUUCAAUUUCAUUACAUUCUUUCUCUUUCUCCUUCGUUUUCUCUCCACCGCGGACG